CAGCAGCCGCGGUAAUACGUAGGGUGCGAGCGUUAAUCGGAAUUACUGGGCGUAAAGCGUGCGCAGGCGGUUGGUUAAGACAGGUGUGAAAUCCCCGGGCUUAACCUGGGAACUGCACUUGUGACUGGACAGCUAGAGUAUGGCAGAGGGGGGUGGAAUUCCGCGUGUAGCAGUGAAAUGCGUAGAUAUGUGGAGGAACACCGAUGGCGAAGGCAGCCCCCUGGGCCAAUACUGACGCUCAUGCACGAAAGCGUGGGGAGCAAACAGGAUUAGAUACCCCCGUAGUCCCUGUCUCUUAUAC
This 301-nucleotide ribosomal RNA is filed under the name uncultured bacterium. Its description in RNAcentral is "partial 16S ribosomal RNA". It matches the Rfam family "Bacterial small subunit ribosomal RNA", at positions 509 to 807 of the family's 1533-position model. The record is from RNAcentral.